GGAGGCGUGCACCGAAUUGGUUAAGGGGCCGGUCUCGAAAAUCGGUGGGGUUUUCCCCGUGUGGGUUCGAGUCCCACCGCCUCCGCCA
This 88-nucleotide transfer RNA is filed under the name Petrotoga sp. 9PW.55.5.1. RNAcentral describes it as "tRNA-Ser". It matches the Rfam family "tRNA". Rfam says of the family: Transfer RNA (tRNA) molecules are approximately 80 nucleotides in length. Their secondary structure includes four short double-helical elements and three loops (D, anti-codon, and T loops). The record is from RNAcentral. Lineage: Bacteria; Thermotogati; Thermotogota; Thermotogae; Petrotogales; Petrotogaceae.